CUUGGUGAAAAGAACCUAUUACUAAUUACUGGCUUGCUAUCCCUAGCCUCCCCUAGCAAUUAAUAAUGCAUGAUAAAUGGAAGCAAAAUACAAUUGAUCGUCCUACCCAUAUCCCUAGGCGGUAUUAACAUAAUCAAGGAAUUCAACACCAGUUCAUGACAUUACUGUACGUCCUCGUAUCAAUAAAGACAAACAACAUUUAACGAAU
This 208-nucleotide long non-coding RNA is filed under the name Vigna radiata. RNAcentral's name for it is "long non-coding RNA (VRAD_LNC003432)". The record is from RNAcentral. Lineage: Eukaryota; Viridiplantae; Streptophyta; Magnoliopsida; Fabales; Fabaceae.